AAAUAUUGUAUAAAAUUUAUCAUUUUUACAAAAUACAUGUUGGGCUACUUUGUAUUGUGUGAUUUUCCUGAUUUUUUGUUUUAUUAUUAGAAUUUAAAAAGAUUCAAUUUUCUCAAAAAAUAUGAAUUAUAUGUAACAAUAUGGACAUAAAAUAAUUGAUAAAACAAAGAUUUACUCUUUCUGUUUUAUAAAGAAUGUUAUUUUAGUUUUUUUUUUGUUUCAAAAAAGUGUCUUUCUAUAUUUUCAAUGUACUUUUCAUAUUAUACUUUCUAACCCUUUAAAUGACCAAUAAAUAUUUAGUUAAAUCAUUUUUAUUUAAACAAUUGUAUAAUAACUAAGAGUAGAUUAGUAUAUUUUUUGUUAUUUUUUUAAUCCAAGUGAAAUGUGAAUAAAGGAUACUUAUUUUGAAACGAAAGGAGUAUAUCAUAAUAACCCAAAACACAUACGAUAUGGCCCAGUUAAGAUCCAUAAACAAAAAUGCAUUAAUACUAUCAUCAAAUAUGGAAACGAUAACUUUGGUGUUUUUGUUCAUAUCUGGCAGAUCUGGUUCUCUGGGACUGCAAUUCUAUGUAUGUAUGCUAACUGGUUGAAAGCACAUGUGUAAAUUUAUAAAAGGUUAUGGUGUCAAAUAUUACUGUAUCGCCAAUUAAGGAAACAAUAUUCACGAUUAGGCAAUAUAUGGAAAGUGAGAGCAAAUACGCAUGCGCAAAAAUGGUUUAAAAAUUAAUCAUGAUCCACACACUCUCGUAAUCAAAUAUAAGAUUUAUAGUUGAAAAACAAUAAGGUAGAAGAAUUCAAGAGAAGUUAUUAAAUUUUGAGAUUCCAUUAUUAUUGGUUUAUGGAUUUUUAAAAUUUAAUUAGAAACCAUUGUUAUUGGGAUGAUGACUUUUAAAUUCCACUUAAAAUCUUUUGUUAUUGGAAAAGUUUAGUUUCAUUGAUUUUAAGAUUCUAUUAAAAUCUACUGUUAUUGGGAUGUAAAUUCUCUUUGUUUUAACUCAUAAGACUAAACUUUGAGAAUAUCAUCUAUACUCAUAAGAUUUUUGAAAUCUAUGCAAUAAAAUACACUCGCAUACAAAAACACACAAAAUUGAACAAUGAAAUAAUACAAAUCACAACUUUAACAUAAAAGUAGAAAGCAAAUAUUAAAAAUUUAAUAAAUGUAAAAAAAAAAUUAAAAUAGUUUUAAAAAGUAUUUUCGAAUUCAAAAAGAAUUAAAAAAUACAAUUUGAAAAAAAAAUCGAAAGCUUUUAUAUAAAAAGUUCAAACUUAAAACCAUAUAUUUUAAAAAUUAUAAAAAAUAACUUUUAUUUAUAUAUCUAUAUAUUAAAAGGUACAAUGACAUUUUGUCUUUUUAAUAAUUGAAAUGAUUCUUUUUUCUUUUCUCCUAUUAUACCAUUAAUUUUUUACCAGUUAAUAACAAUCAAUAGAAUCUUAUACACGAGUAAUGAAAAUCUAUGUAAGAAUAUUGGAUAAAAUUUGUCAAAUCUAGUUAACUUGUAAAAUCUUCUCAACUAUUGAAAUCAUCAAAUUCCAUUAAAAUUCAUGUCCCAAUAACCCCUCCUAAAUAUUUCUAAUGCAUUAAUAUUUAAAAAAAUGAGUAUUUUAUACGCAUAAACAAUUUAUGGAUAUCGUUAGUCCAUUAUUUGAGUAAAUUCUCCAGGGAAGUUAGAGUUUAUAGUGAUGCAAUUGUACCAUGAACGUAGUUAAAAAACUAAAAAAAUUACAUAUGAUGGGCUUUGUUGUUACUGAACAUAUUUAGCAAAUAAUUACAUUACCAAAUAUGGGUCUAAAUUUGUUAUAGUAGAGCCCAAUAUUAUAAUAGAUAACUCAAAAAUCCUACUACAUACGAUGGACUUUUUGAAAAUUGAACAUAUUCAGUCCAUUUCUUUUAUGAAUUAUGCAAUAAAUUAAAUAAUAACAAAUUGACUCUCUCGGGACAAAAAAAGGAUUAGGGUUCUAACAAAAUCAAGAUAUUUCACCAGAGGAACACAGGUGAGAAGACGUCUACGAACUACCGAGCAUAUUGUAUUCUUAUUAUUUGUCCCUACCACCAAUUCUUUCCGAUUACUGAUUCUUUUUUCUUUUCAAUUGAUCUCAUUGAAAAAAAAAACAAAUUUCCCCGACGAUCCUCUGAUUCAUCUGCAAAUCAUUGUCCUCAAAUGGCUUUGGGGAAGAGACGCGGUGGAUUGGUGAUUGCUGGCUGAAUGAUUCCAAAACUGAUACGGAUACAGUGUGCAGAUAACUGAAGAAUCGAACAUAUAUUGUUUCAGUAUGAUGGAUCUAUUGUGUUUCAGUACUGUCCAGGGUCCAGGGAGCAAUGAUCGUGUAACAUAGUUUCUAUUGUAUUUUUGUUAAAUGUUAAGCUAAUGUAAUUAAGGUAAUAUAAUUUGAAUGAACAUUGGAGAAUGACAUUAUUAAGGGUGGACUGUCAAUGGCAUUUGUUGUAAAUUCUCUAGGGAAGAAUGGGCAGUUAAUUAUAUAGGCUGAGAGUGAAUAUGGUGCUGCCACAUAAGGAUGGCAUCCCUGUAAAUAAUUUACACUUGUAAGGUUAUAUUUUCAAAAUGUUUCUUCAUUAAUAAGAAAGGGAU
Long non-coding RNA from Brassica rapa (field mustard), 2588 nucleotides. RefSeq lists it as uncharacterized. NCBI's taxonomy places the organism in Eukaryota, Viridiplantae, Streptophyta, Magnoliopsida, Brassicales, Brassicaceae. The record is from RefSeq and is a predicted model, not a curated record.